AUAGGGGGUUAGUCCAAACAUAAGACCUCUGAUUUCGGCUCAGAAGACCGCGGUUCAAAUCCGCGAUCCCCUUAUG
This 76-nucleotide transfer RNA is filed under the name Silurus soldatovi (Soldatov's catfish). RNAcentral describes it as "tRNA-Arg". It matches the Rfam family "tRNA". From Rfam's summary of the family: Transfer RNA (tRNA) molecules are approximately 80 nucleotides in length. Lineage: Eukaryota; Metazoa; Chordata; Actinopteri; Siluriformes; Siluridae. The record is from RNAcentral.